RNAcentral lists this long non-coding RNA (495 nucleotides) under Homo sapiens (human). RNAcentral describes it as "HSALNT0399732". Lineage: Eukaryota; Metazoa; Chordata; Mammalia; Primates; Hominidae. The record is from RNAcentral.
GGAAUCCACAUCAACUAGAAAAAAACUGGAAACAUUUGAAGAGGCAUUGGGAUCACAAAGAGAGUGAAUCUAAACAUUGAACAGCAGACAGACAAGAUAAACCUAGGCAGAGAGAAAACUUGCCUCAAUCUUGGAUUAAAUGCAGAGGUCUGCUUGAACAUUCCAAGGUCAAACUAAAAGUCUACAAGAGCAGGAGACUUGAUUCAAAACAGCUCGUCUCUGACUGGUUUUCAUGUGGGCAGAGGGGACUCUCUCGACACUAAGAUGACCACAGCUCACAUAGAGGUGUCAGCUGAAAUAUGGAGGAUUACCACUACUGUAGAAGAUGUCCUAUGCAAAAAAAAAAAAAACCAGCAUAAGCUAAUGAAAAUAUAUAGUGGUCACUUAUUCGGACAUUACAUGUCCUCAAGUCCUACAAAUUAUUUGCUGCUCAAAAGAACACACGUUUAUUAUCUCAGAACUUCCAUGGGUCCGGAAUUCAGACACAGCUUACCU